AGUGAACGCUGGCGGUGGGCCUAACACACGCAAGUCGAACGGCAGCACAGUAAGAGCUUGCUCUUACGGGUGGCGAGUGGCGGACGGGUGAGGAAUACAUCGGAAUCUACUUUUUCGUGGGGGAUAACGUAGGGAAACUUACGCUAAUACCGCAUACGACCUACGGGUGAAAGCAGGGGAUCUUCGGACCUUGCGCGAUUGGAUGAGCCGAUGUCGGAUUAGCUAGUUGGCGGGGUAAAGGCCCACCAAGGCGACGAUCCGUAGCUGGUCUGAGAGGAUGAUCGGCCACACUGGAACUGAGACACGGUCCAGACUCCUACGGGAGGCAGCAGUGGGGAAUAUUGGACAAUGGGCGCAAGCCUGAUCCAGCCAUACCGCGUGGGUGAAGAAGGCCUUCGGGUUGUAAAGCCCUUUUGUUGGGAAAGAAAAGCAGCAGGUUAAUACCCCGCUGUUCUGACGGUACCCAAAGAAUAAGCACCGGCUAACUUCGUG
This 492-nucleotide ribosomal RNA is filed under the name uncultured bacterium. RNAcentral's name for it is "partial 16S ribosomal RNA". It matches the Rfam family "Bacterial small subunit ribosomal RNA", at positions 29 to 507 of the family's 1533-position model. The record is from RNAcentral.